GAUGAAGAACGUAGUGAAAUGCGAUAAGUAAUGUGAAUUGCAGAAUUCAGUGAAUUAUCGAGUCUUUGAACGCACAUUGCGCCCCCUGGUAUUCCGGGGGGCAUGCCUGUCCGAGCGUCAUUGCUGCCCUCAAGCACGGCUUGUGUGUUGGGCCCCCGUCCCCGGUUCUCCCCGGGGACGGGCCCGAAAGGCAGCGGCGGCACCGCGUCCGAUCCUCGAGCGUAUGGGGCUUUGUCACCCGCUCUGUAGGCCCGGCCGGCGCCAGCCGACACCCCAACUUUAUUUUCUAAGGUUGACCUCGGAUCAGGUAGGGAUACCCGCUGAACUUAAGCAUAUCAAUAAGCGGAGGA
RNAcentral lists this unclassified non-coding RNA (350 nucleotides) under soil metagenome. RNAcentral's name for it is "partial contains 5.8S ribosomal RNA, internal transcribed spacer 2, and large subunit ribosomal RNA". The stretch from base 1 to 120 matches the Rfam family "5.8S ribosomal RNA", at positions 35 to 154 of the family's 154-position model. The record is from RNAcentral.